Molecule: ribosomal RNA, 492 nt
Filed under: uncultured bacterium
Lineage: Bacteria
Description: partial 16S ribosomal RNA
Rfam family: Bacterial small subunit ribosomal RNA
Source: RNAcentral
AGUGAACGCUGGCGGUAGGCCUAACACAUGCAAGUCGAACGGCAGCACAGUAAGAGCUUGCUCUUACGGGUGGCGAGUGGCGGACGGGUGAGGAAUACAUCGGAAUCUACUUUUUCGUGGGGGAUAACGUAGGGAAACUUACGCUAAUACCGCUUACGACCUACGGGUGAAAGCAGGGGAUCUUCGGACCUUGCGCGAUUGAAUGAGCCGAUGUCGGAUUAGCUAGUUGGCGGGGUAAAGGCCCACCAAGGCGACGAUCCGUAGCUGGUCUGAGAGGAUGAUCAGCCACACUGGAGCUGAGACACGGUCAAGGCUCCUGCGGGAGGCAGCAGUGGGGAAUAUUGGACAAUAGGCGCAAGCCUGAUCCAGCCAUACCGCGUGGGUGAAGAAGGCCUUCGGGUUGUAAAGCCCUUUUGUUGGGAAAGAAAAGCAGCAGGUUAAUACCCCGCUGUUCUGACGGUACCCAAAGAAUAAGCACCGGCUAACUUCGUG